UACGUAGGGGGCAAGCGUUGUCCGGAAUCAUUGGGCGUAAAGAGCGUGUAGGCGGUUCGGUAAGUCGGCUGUGAAAGUCCAGGGCUCAACCCUGGGAUGCCGGUCGAUACUGCCGGACUAGAGUUCGGAAGAGGCGAGUGGAAUUCCCGGUGUAGCGGUGAAAUGCGCAGAUAUCGGGAGGAACACCUAUGGCGAAGGCAGCUCGCUGGGACGUUACUGACGCUGAGACGCGAAAGCG
Molecule: ribosomal RNA, 238 nt
Filed under: uncultured bacterium
Lineage: Bacteria
Description: partial 16S ribosomal RNA
Rfam family: Bacterial small subunit ribosomal RNA
Source: RNAcentral